This 2628-nucleotide ribosomal RNA is filed under the name Salmonella enterica subsp. enterica serovar Enteritidis. RNAcentral describes it as "partial 23S ribosomal RNA". It matches the Rfam family "Bacterial large subunit ribosomal RNA". The record is from RNAcentral. Lineage: Bacteria; Pseudomonadati; Pseudomonadota; Gammaproteobacteria; Enterobacterales; Enterobacteriaceae.
UCAUUAACUGAAUCCAUAGGUUAAUGAGGCGAACCGGGGGAACUGAAACAUCUAAGUACCCCGAGGAAAAGAAAUCAACCGAGAUUCCCCCAGUAGCGGCGAGCGAACGGGGAGGAGCCCAGAGCCUGAAUCAGCAUGUGUGUUAGUGGAAGCGUCUGGAAAGGCGCGCGAUACAGGGUGACAGCCCCGUACACAAAAGCGCAUGUGCUGUGAGCUCGAUGAGUAGGGCGGGACACGUGGUAUCCUGUCUGAAUAUGGGGGGACCAUCCUCCAAGGCUAAAUACUCCUGACUGACCGAUAGUGAACCAGUACCGUGAGGGAAAGGCGAAAAGAACCCCGGCGAGGGGAGUGAAAAAGAACCUGAAACCGUGUACGUACAAGCAGUGGGAGCACCCUUUGGGUGUGACUGCGUACCUUUUGUAUAAUGGGUCAGCGACUUAUAUUCUGUAGCAAGGUUAACCGAAUAGGGGAGCCGGAGGGAAACCGAGUCUUAAUUGGGCGUUAAGUUGCAGGGUAUAGACCCGAAACCCGGUGAUCUAGCCAUGGGCAGGUUGAAGGUUGGGUAACACUAACUGGAGGACCGAACCGACUAAUGUUGAAAAAUUAGCGGAUGACCUGUGGCUGGGGGUGAAAGGCCAAUCAAACCGGGAGAUAGCUGGUUCUCCCCGAAAGCUAUUUAGGUAGCGCCUCGUGAAUUCAUCUCCGGGGGUAGAGCACUGUUUCGGCUAGGGGGCCAUCCCGGCUUACCAACCCGAUGCAAACUGCGAAUACCGGAGAAUGUUAUCACGGGAGACACACGGCGGGUGCUAACGUCCGUCGUGAAGAGGGAAACAACCCAGACCGCCAGCUAAGGUCCCAAAGUCAUGGUUAAGUGGGAAACGAUGUGGGAAGGCCCAGACAGCCAGGAUGUUGGCUUAGAAGCAGCCAUCAUUUAAAGAAAGCGUAAUAGCUCACUGGUCGAGUCGGCCUGCGCGGAAGAUGUAACGGGGCUAAACCAUGCACCGAAGCUGCGGCAGCGACACUGUGUGUUGUUGGGUAGGGGAGCGUUCUGUAAGCCUGCGAAGGUGGCCUGUGAGGGUUGCUGGAGGUAUCAGAAGUGCGAAUGCUGACAUAAGUAACGAUAAAGCGGGUGAAAAGCCCGCUCGCCGGAAGACCAAGGGUUCCUGUCCAACGUUAAUCGGGGCAGGGUGAGUCGACCCCUAAGGCGAGGCCGAAAGGCGUAGUCGAUGGGAAACGGGUUAAUAUUCCCGUACUUGGUGUUACUGCGAAGGGGGGACGGAGAAGGCUAUGUUGGCCGGGCGACGGUUGUCCCGGUUUAAGCGUGUAGGUGUGUGUUCCAGGUAAAUCCGGUUCACUUUAACACUGAGGCGUGACGACGAGGCACUACGGUGCUGAAGCAACAAAUGCCCUGCUUCCAGGAAAAGCCUCUAAGCAUCAGGUAACAUCAAAUCGUACCCCAAACCGACACAGGUGGUCAGGUAGAGAAUACCAAGGCGCUUGAGAGAACUCGGGUGAAGGAACUAGGCAAAAUGGUGCCGUAACUUCGGGAGAAGGCACGCUGACACGUAGGUGAAGUGAUUUACUCAUGGAGCUGAAGUCAGUCGAAGAUACCAGCUGGCUGCAACUGUUUAUUAAAAACACAGCACUGUGCAAACACGAAAGUGGACGUAUACGGUGUGACGCCUGCCCGGUGCCGGAAGGUUAAUUGAUGGGGUCAGCGCAAGCGAAGCUCCUGAUCGAAGCCCCGGUAAACGGCGGCCGUAACUAUAACGGUCCUAAGGUAGCGAAAUUCCUUGUCGGGUAAGUUCCGACCUGCACGAAUGGCGUAAUGAUGGCCAGGCUGUCUCCACCCGAGACUCAGUGAAAUUGAACUCGCUGUGAAGAUGCAGUGUACCCGCGGCAAGACGGAAAGACCCCGUGAACCUUUACUAUAGCUUGACACUGAACAUUGAGCCUUGAUGUGUAGGAUAGGUGGGAGGCUUUGAAGUGUGGACGCCAGUCUGCAUGGAGCCGACCUUGAAAUACCACCCUUUAAUGUUUGAUGUUCUAACGUGGACCCGUUACCCGGGUUGCGGACAGUGUCUGGUGGGUAGUUUGACUGGGGCGGUCUCCUCCUAAAGAGUAACGGAGGAGCACGAAGGUUGGCUAAUCCUGGUCGGACAUCAGGAGGUUAGUGCAAUGGCAUAAGCCAGCUUGACUGCGAGCGUGACGGCGCGAGCAGGUGCGAAAGCAGGUCAUAGUGAUCCGGUGGUUCUGAAUGGAAGGGCCAUCGCUCAACGGAUAAAAGGUACUCCGGGGAUAACAGGCUGAUACCGCCCAAGAGUUCAUAUCGACGGCGGUGUUUGGCACCUCGAUGUCGGCUCAUCACAUCCUGGGGCUGAAGUAGGUCCCAAGGGUAUGGCUGUUCGCCAUUUAAAGUGGUACGCGAGCUGGGUUUAGAACGUCGUGAGACAGUUCGGUCCCUAUCUGCCGUGGGCGCUGGAGAACUGAGGGGGGCUGCUCCUAGUACGAGAGGACCGGAGUGGACGCAUCACUGGUGUUCGGGUUGUCAUGCCAAUGGCACUGCCCGGUAGCUAAAUGCGGAAGAGAUAAGUGCUGAAAGCAUCUAAGCACGAAACUUGCCCCGAG